UUUGACCGUGCAAAGGUAGCAUAAUCAUUAGUUUAUUAAUUGUGAGCUUGUAUGAAUGGUUGGACGAAAUAUUAACUGUCUUAUAUUUAAUAUUAUAAUUUAAAUUUUGAGUUAAAAUGCUUAAAUUUAUUUAUUGGACGAGAAGACCCUAUAGAUCUUUAUUUUAAUUAAUUUUUUUUAAUUUAGUUUAUUUAUUUUUGAUUUUAAUUAUUUUUUUGUUGGGGUGACAUUUAGAAAUAUUUAACUCUUUAUAUUUUUAUUCAAUUAUUUUUGUUUUUUUGACUUUUUAUUAUUGUUAUAAGAUUUAGAUACCUUAGGGAUAACAGCGUAAUUCUUUUUUAGAGUUCUUAUCGACAAUGGAGAUUGCGACCUCGAUGUUGGAUUAAGGAUAAUAUUGGGUGUAGAUGCUUAAUAAUUAAGUCUGUUCGACUUUUAAAUUCUUACAUGAUCUGAGUUCAAAACCGGA
RNAcentral lists this ribosomal RNA (466 nucleotides) under Neoclides buescheri. RNAcentral's name for it is "partial 16S ribosomal RNA". The stretch from base 319 to 466 matches the Rfam family "Bacterial large subunit ribosomal RNA", at positions 2473 to 2621 of the family's 2925-position model. The record is from RNAcentral. Lineage: Eukaryota; Metazoa; Arthropoda; Insecta; Phasmatodea; Lonchodidae.